RNAcentral lists this ribosomal RNA (207 nucleotides) under uncultured delta proteobacterium. Its description in RNAcentral is "partial 16S ribosomal RNA". It matches the Rfam family "Bacterial small subunit ribosomal RNA", at positions 568 to 774 of the family's 1533-position model. The record is from RNAcentral. Lineage: Bacteria; Deltaproteobacteria.
CGCGUAGGCGGACCUGCAAGUCAGAUGUGAAAUCUCGGGGCUCAACCCCGAAACUGCGUCUGAAACUACAGGUCUAGAAUCUUGGAGGGGGAAGGGGAAUAUCGCAUGUAGGGGUAAAAUCCGUAGAUAUGCGAUGGAACACCAGAGGCGAAGGCGCCUUCCUGGACAAGUAUUGACGCUGAGGCGCGAAAGCGUGGGGAUCAAACA